CAGCCGCCGCGGGAACACGUAGGGUGCGAGCGUUAAUCGGAAUUACUGGGCGUAAAGCGUGCGCAGGCGGUUAUAUAAGACAGAUGUGAAAUCCCCGGGCUCAACCUGGGACCUGCAUUUGUGACUGUAUAGCUAGAGUACGGUAGAGGGGGAUGGAAUUCCGCGUGUAGCAGUGAAAUGCGUAGAUAUGCGGAGGAACACCGAUGGCGAAGGCAAUCCCCUGGACCUGUACUGACGCUCAUGCACGAAAGCGUGGGGAGCAAACAGGAUUAGAUACCCCAGUAGUCCCUGUCUCUUAUAC
RNAcentral lists this ribosomal RNA (301 nucleotides) under uncultured bacterium. Its description in RNAcentral is "partial 16S ribosomal RNA". It matches the Rfam family "Bacterial small subunit ribosomal RNA", at positions 509 to 807 of the family's 1533-position model. The record is from RNAcentral.